CACGUAGGCGGCGAUGUAAGUCGGGUGUGAAAUCCCUCGGCCUAACCGAGGAACUGCGCCCGAAACUGCAUUGCUUGAGGAUCAAAGGGGUGCUCGGAAUUUCCGGUGGAGCGGUGAAAUGCGUUGAUAUCGGAAGGAACGUCGGCGGCGAAAGCGGAGCACUGGUUGAUUACUGACGCUGAGGUGCGAAAGCCAGGGGAGCAAACGGGAUUAGAUACCCCGGUAGUCCUGGCCGUAAACGAUGGGUACUAGGUAGGGGGGAACCAAACGCCUCCCUGCUGGAGUGAAUAUCUUAAGUACCCCGCUGGGAAGUACAAUCGCAAGGUUGAA
RNAcentral lists this ribosomal RNA (330 nucleotides) under uncultured bacterium. RNAcentral's name for it is "bacterial SSU rRNA". It matches the Rfam family "Bacterial small subunit ribosomal RNA", at positions 568 to 898 of the family's 1533-position model. The record is from RNAcentral.